RNAcentral lists this ribosomal RNA (520 nucleotides) under uncultured Glomeromycotina. Its description in RNAcentral is "SSU rRNA". It matches the Rfam family "Eukaryotic small subunit ribosomal RNA", at positions 569 to 1089 of the family's 1831-position model. Lineage: Eukaryota; Fungi; Glomeromycota. The record is from RNAcentral.
AGCAGCCGCGGUAAUUCCAGCUCCAAUAGCGUAUAUUAAAGUUGUUGCAGUUAAAAAGCUCGUAGUUGAAUUUCGGGGUCAGUAGGUUGGUCAUGCCUUCGGUAUGUACUGGUCUCACUGAUUCCUCCUUCUUGAAGAUCCGUAAUGUCAUUAAUUUGGUGUUGCGGGGAAUCGGGACUGUUACUUUGAAAAAAUUAGAGUGUUUAAAGCAGGCUAACGCUUGAAUACAUUAGCAUGGAAUAAUGAAAUAGGACGUUUGAUCCUAUUUUGUUGGUUUCUAGGAUUGACGUAAUGAUUAAUAGGGAUAGUUGGGGGCAUUAGUAUUCAAUUGUCAGAGGUGAAAUUCUUGGAUUUAUUGAAGACUAACUACUGCGAAAGCAUUUGCCAAGGAUGUUUUCAUUAAUCAAGAACGAAAGUUAGGGGAUCGAAGACGAUCAGAUACCGUCGUAGUCUUAACCAUAAACUAUGCCGACUAGGGAUCGGAUGAUGUUAAUUUUUUAAUGUACUCAUUCGGCGCCUU